AGCGAACGCUGGCGGCAGGCUUAACACAUGCAAGUCGAACGGAUCCUUCGGGAUUAGUGGCGGACGGGUGAGUAACACGUGGGAACGUGCCUUUUGGUUCGGAACAACACAGGGAAACUUGUGCUAAUACCGGGAUGUGCCCUUCGGGGAAAGAUUUAUCGCCAUUAGAGCGGCCCGCGUCUGAUUAGCUAGUUGGUGAGGUAAAGGCUCACCAAGGCUACGAUCAGUAGCUGGUCNGAGAGGAUGAUCAGCCACACUGGGACUGAGACACGGCCCAGACACCUACGGGAGGCAGCAGGUGGGGAAUCUUGCGCAAGUGGGGGAAACCCUGACGCAGCCAUGCCGCGUGAAUGAUGAA
Molecule: ribosomal RNA, 358 nt
Filed under: uncultured bacterium
Lineage: Bacteria
Description: bacterial SSU rRNA
Rfam family: Bacterial small subunit ribosomal RNA
Source: RNAcentral